Molecule: long non-coding RNA, 1033 nt
Filed under: Corvus moneduloides (New Caledonian crow)
Lineage: Eukaryota; Metazoa; Chordata; Aves; Passeriformes; Corvidae
Description: lncRNA (ENSCMUG00000020291.1)
Source: RNAcentral
ACUGACAUGUUGGAUAGUCAAACAGGCAAAUGGUACCAGCCGAGUGUUGUCUGAACUUGCAGAAGACCUGAGUUCAGUCCAGCACGCCCUGCUUCAGAAUAGAGCAGCUAUAGAUUUUUUACUUUUAGCCCACGGCCAUGGCUGUGAAGACUUUGAGGGAAUGUGCUGCAUGGAUCUUGAAGAUCAUUCUAAGUCCAUCCACGCCGAAAUUAAGAAUUUGAUCGAACACUCCCAAAAGAUAAAAAAGGACUCCGGAUUUUUCGGAUUAGAAGGACUUACAGAGUGGAUGGGCUUAGAAGGAUGGAUGAAAAGUGUGAUCAAAUCUUUAAUGCUAUUGCUAAUCAUUCUAAGUCCAUCCACGCCGAAAUUAAGAAUUUGAUCGAACACUCCCAAAAGAUAAAAAAGGACUCCGGAUUUUUCGGAUUAGAAGGACUUACAGAGUGGAUGGGCCUAGAAGGAUGGAUGAAAAGUGUGAUCAAAUCUUUAAUGCUAUUGCUAAUAAUUGUUUUGCUUAGUUUACUUAUGCUUAGCUGUAUAAUGUCAUGUAUAAAAAAUUUAAUUUUGAAGUCAGUCAAUAUGACUAUGAUCAUGCAAAAAGAAAACGGGGGAAGUGUUGAGAGUCUUUCUGAAGAAUGGCUAAAAAGCAAAGGUCAUGAUGACAUAGCAGGCUUAGUAAAGAUGCAGACUUGGCAAGGACACUAAAUCCUUGAGCAAGAAGUUGUACAAAUGACAGGAUGUGAAUCCAGAUAAGUAAGCAGAAAGAAACCAUAUGGAAGAGAAAAGAUAAGACCACAGUGAUCUCAUGGAAUAGCUCCCACCAAUAAGGAGCUCAGCUUUUGCAAUAUGUAUGAGCUAAUUAGUAGUACUAUAAGUAUGUGUAGAUUAUUACAAUAAACGAGACUUGCUGACCACAAUGCCGUGAGUGCUUGUCUCCCGCGACUCCACCCAACAUAUCCCCACAUGUUGUGAUGGGAUUAUUGUGCACUGCGCACCAGUGUCAACCAAGGCAUCAUAUCUUUGUGGUUCUGAUGUA